RNAcentral lists this ribosomal RNA (523 nucleotides) under uncultured archaeon. RNAcentral's name for it is "bacterial SSU rRNA". It matches the Rfam family "Archaeal small subunit ribosomal RNA", at positions 942 to 1478 of the family's 1478-position model. The record is from RNAcentral.
GCAAUAUGUAGGCCAGGCUGAAGACCUUGCCUGAAUCGCUGAGAGGAGGUGCAUGGCCGUCGCCAGUUCGUACUGUGAAGCAUCCUGUUAAGUCAGGCAACGAGCGAGACCCGUGCCCACUGUUACCAGCAUAUCCUCCGGGAUGAUGGGUACUCUGUGGGGACCGCUGAUGUUAAAUCAGAGGAAGGUGCGGGCUACGGUAGGUCAGUAUGCCCCGAAUUUCUCGGGCUACACGCGGGCUACAAUGAAUGGGACAAUGGGCCCCUACCCUGAAAAGGUUUGGUAAUCUCACAAACCCAUCCGUAGUUCGGAUUGAGGGCUGUAACUCGCCCUCAUGAAGCUGGAAUCCGUAGUAAUCGCGUUUCAAUAUAGCGCGGUGAAUACGUCCCUGCUCCUUGCACACACCGCCCGUCAAACCACCCGAGUGAGGUAUGGGUAAGGGCACGAACUCUGUGUCGUGUUCGAACCUGUGCUUUGCAAGGGGGGUUAAGUCGUAAAAAGGUAUCCAAGGGCGAAUUCCAGC